ACGGGUGAGUAACACGUAUGCAAUCCACCUGUAACAGGGGAGUAACCGGAGAAAUCCGGACUAAUACCCAUAAUAUGGGCGCUCCGCAUGGAGAGUUCAUUAAAGAGAGCAAUUUUGGUUACAGACGAGCAUGCGCUCCAUUAGCCAGUUGGCGGGGUAACGGCCCACCAAGGCGACGAUGGAUAGGGGUUCUGAGAGGAAGGUCCCCCACAUUGGAACUGAGACACGGUCCAA
This 234-nucleotide ribosomal RNA is filed under the name uncultured bacterium. Its description in RNAcentral is "partial 16S ribosomal RNA". It matches the Rfam family "Bacterial small subunit ribosomal RNA", at positions 102 to 334 of the family's 1533-position model. The record is from RNAcentral.